Molecule: ribosomal RNA, 1304 nt
Filed under: Triticum aestivum (bread wheat)
Lineage: Eukaryota; Viridiplantae; Streptophyta; Magnoliopsida; Poales; Poaceae
Description: partial small subunit ribosomal RNA
Source: RNAcentral
CCUACUUGUAACGGAACGAUUGGACGAAGACGGCAUCGAAAAAGUGAAUGAACUACUUUCCCCUCGUCUCGUCUCUCGCUCUCACCUAACCCUCUCGUUCUUCCUCAUCCCGAUCCCCUUCUCCUCUCUUCCCAAAUCCUCUAGAUCGGGGCGUGACAGGGUCAAACCCCAUCGGCGUAUGGCCACGGGCGCGAGGAGCACCGCGGUGGGCGCAUCCGGCGGCGCAGCGGCCGCGUCCAGAGGCAUGGUGACCUCCACGCGCGCCCCUCCCAGCGCCAUGGUGGCCGCGUCCAUCCUUGCGGAUGAGGAUGAGGCGAAGGAAAAAGAAGACGAGGCUCAUCUCACCGGCGGACAGCGAGAUGUACAUGUUGGGCGGAGUUGAAGAUCGCCGGAGUUGCUGUCUAGUCCGUGCCGGGAACGGUGUCGUCAGCCUUGAUUUCUUUUCCUUGAGGCCUUUUCGCUCUCGGCGGAGCAAAGUGCAUGAUAACGUGUUAGAAGAAAUCGAGAGACAACAAGAGACAAACAAAAUGAUUCAACUCUCUUCUUUGUUGAUGAUACAAUUACACAAUAUAUAGGUCCCGAAGGGACGUGAUGGCACGGAGGGGACGCAAGUAGCCUCGGUUAGCGAGACCAAAGGAAGGGUCGCGCCAAUCGCCAACAGGCGGUAGUUAGCAAGGGGAGAUUCCCUUCCAAUUAAACAUUUGUUUAAUUGUAACAGGUUUAUGGGAAAAAUCACAUCCGAAUCGGUCGGCGAACCGAUAUAGGCAAUACAAUCCGAAUCGCGCGUUCCGGACAGUUUAAGGGUUGGGCGUUGUAGAUGUCCUUACACCUUUGAUCUGAAUGACAUAGCACAGCCUCACGGAAAUUGGGUUCGGGCGUUCGGCAAUACAUACCAUAGCAGAGCCUAAAGAAACCUUUUAUCUACACGAGGCUCGGCCAACACCAUUUCGGAGUUUUCGGUUUCUUUGAUGAAAUGGGGAGGUACGCUCUUUCUGCCAAAGAAACCAUAUUGAAAUAUCAUCACAAAAAGUCCCCCACAUAUACAGUAAGGUGCAAAUUUAUGAUUAAAAACUUACAUGAUCACUCAACUAAGCAAAACUGCAAGAGCGUGACUCGGGUGUUUAGGCAAAGCCUCACGAAUCCGAAUAGGCUGGACAGACUUUUCCUCUACAUGUACAACUAGGAAACGGGAUUACCCCUGUCCAUUGGGUGUGCAUCUGAGCCCAGGCUCAGAAAUGGAUAUUAGCAUUUGAGUUGACUACUAUGUAAGAUGACAGGUUGUAUUGUCUUCCGAAAUGAAAAAC